Molecule: long non-coding RNA, 947 nt
Organism: Nicotiana tabacum (common tobacco)
Lineage: Eukaryota; Viridiplantae; Streptophyta; Magnoliopsida; Solanales; Solanaceae
Source: RefSeq, a predicted model, not a curated record
AUGAUCCUUAUUAUAUAGAAAAAAAUUACCAUGGAAAGACCCCAAUGGUCACGAAUGAAUGAACAGUAAAAACACGGUAAGACACUUUAGUUAAACACAAUAAAUUAACAUAAAAAUUGGUAUGAGUUAAAUUUAUUAAAAUAACUGAGAAACCAAACCUAUGCUACAGAAAGACACUUAGAAAAAGGGUUUUAUUGGGUCGCUGUAUAAAUAUGCCUAUUAGGGUUAGGGUUUGCCAAAGAACAAAAGAGAAAGUAGCUAUUUAAUCUUAAUUUCCUUAAUCUCCACCACACAUAUGCCAUUUAUUUUCUCGUUGUUCGGCUGAGAACUCUCUACACUUAAGAAGAGAUGAAAAAAGUUUUGAGGAAAUCAUCAAAGGACUCCUCAAACAACUCUACAAAUUCAUCAUCGUCCUUUACUGUGAGGACAGUGAGAUAUGUAGAGUGUCAGAAGAAUCACGCCGCCAGUGUCGGCGGAUACGUCGUCGAUGGUUGCCGGGAGUUCAUGCCGGGAGCAACUGCCGGCGCCGCCCUAACUUGUGCAGCCUGUGGCUGUCACCGCAAUUUUCAUAGAAAGGAAGUGGAAACUGGUGUUGCUUCUGAUUGUACUUCUGCUUCUUCCACUCCUACAUGAAAUCCAGGUGCCCGAGCGACAGAGUGAGGGUCCUCAGCUGAUCCAGAGUUUGACGGAGAUUGUAAGGUAGUUGCAUGGUGUCCGCAGCCCUGUUUUCUCCUUCCUAUCUUGUUCUUUUCCGUAUUUUCUAUACUUAUAUUGUACCGGACAGUUAGUUAUGUAGUAGAGGCUCUAGACUCGUGACACCGGAUAUUUGGGGCUGUGUAGUUUCAUUUUUAUUUGACUUCCGCAUAUAUUUUGUUGCUUUAAACUCUUAUAAUGAAAGUUUGGUAUUUAAAACCUGUGUUAGAAAAUGGCUUAUUAUAAGGAAAAAA